Molecule: long non-coding RNA, 3211 nt
Organism: Gastrolobium bilobum
Lineage: Eukaryota; Viridiplantae; Streptophyta; Magnoliopsida; Fabales; Fabaceae
Exons: 5
Source: RefSeq, a predicted model, not a curated record
UUGUGCCUUCUUUGUUCAGACUACUCACUUUUCUACACCAAAACCAAACAUCUCUUUUUCUCAGCUCCCUCUGAAUCCUUUUAACUCCAAUUUUCGUGCCUCACUCCUUCAGCUUCACCUUUUCUCUCUCUCUCUCUCUAACCUUAAGAACCCAUCGUUCUCUCGUUCUCACGUUCGUGGCGCAGACUUCGGUUCGAGCUCAGCAAGAAGAAGACAACACCGUCACCGUCGAAGACGAAGAAGGAGAAGGUUUCAAUGAAACCGAAGCGGGUCUUUUGGAAUGGGAACCCAGCGGCAAAUAUGCUGAGAGCGGCAAAGAAGUAGAAGAUGAUUUUGUUUGGUAUUAGGUUUUGCAUUUGAAUUUUCAUAUAAAACUGCUUAAGCUGGAGAAAUAUAUUUCUAAUUGUGUUUUGUGUAUUGAUUAUGGACAUCGUGUUUGAUUAAAUGUGAAAAUGGAAAAUUAUUUGAUGUUUUUACAUAUUAUGGGAUGAGCUUAAGCUGUUUGAUAAAAUGUCUAAGUCUAAUUUUAUUUUUCUAAUUUAGUGGCUCGUGUAUUAAAUUCAUCAAUGAGUUACUAUGUUUCAUCCUUUUGUAGUUUUAAAUUUUUAAUCUCAUACCAUUAAAUUGUAUUCUUUUUAACCUGUUUUUUCCCUCGAUAUUACGAAGAACAAGUGUCCAAAACUUAUUUCAUUAAUGAUAAUUUCGUAAAUGCAAAGAACACUGCAGAGGAAGUGAUAGGAAGUGAUAAUUUUGUAAAUAGUUUGAUAGGAAGUGAAACUGGAGCAGUGCCACCUUCAUCCUACACUCCACCUCAUUCCUGGACUGAUCAGCCUUCAAUGUAAUGUAUCCCAGCCCACCGCAUCAAACUAUGAUUUUGAUUUUUCUAACUCAGCAAUUUUUAGUUGGAUGGUUUCCUUUUUAACUUGCACUGGUUGAUUUAGUGAACCAAGGAAUGAUACUGCAAAUGAAACUAGUGGCUACAAUGUUGCAGAAGAAGUACGCCCUCCCUUACCAGUCAUAAGGGAAACUCUUUAUGAUGAUGCAAUGCUCUAUGGUUAGGUUUUCCUUUUCCUUAUUCCUUGGCUUGCCUUGGAAAUCUAAGGAUUAUGUUAUAGUAGAGAUGCAUAUUCAGUGUUUUCAAUAUUAUUGAACAUAUAUGUUCAUGCUUUUCAUUAGUUCUCAACCCUAAUAUCACUUCAGUUCAACUUCAAUGGCCCAUCCUUGUAGAAUUAAGUAUAGUGCUUUUAGAUGUAAUUCAUUAGUUCACUACUUUUCGGAUUACUUUAUCACUAUGCAUAUCCUGUGCUUUUUAUCAUUCUUUGAUUACAUGUUCAUAUAGUAAGUGAUUCUAGUCCGUUUGUGUGUGAGAGCCUUUGUGAACUGUGAAAUGAUGAACAACAGAGAGUAAGGUGAAAGAAAAGUGAAUUUGUUGUAGCUAGAUAGACAGUCUUGUGAUCCAUAUAUAACUGGAAAAAUUCAACUCUGUUCGAGUGGUGUGUACUUUUGAUGAUGACCCAUUAAGAGGCAUAAUGUUUGCAGAUUGGGAAGUUGCAAGAUAUUAAAAUAUCAUAAAUGAAAAAUAGGAAACUUACAUUGCAAACGGGCAGUAAUUGACAUGCAAGUAGGGUAUUCCUCUUUUAUUCUGGUUCGUCUAGCUGUUUCCUUGUAUUUGUUUUUCUGGGCACUUAAUCAAGAUAAGACUGUAAGCAAGUAUUAUAUUUGUUUUUGCAGUAUUACCAUUCAGCUCUUUCAUCAGUAUGUUAAUGUGCUUGUCCAUGCCGGCUACAAUGGCAUCAACAUGAAGUUUUCUGUUUGACUAAUAUGACUGCAUAGAAAAAGCUUUAGCAGGCAUAGCAGUUUCGUCAUUAGAUGCCUAAUGCAGUAUGAGGAGAUCUAAUUAUAUUACUCUAUGAUUUAUGGUGUAAUAGAAAAUGGGGUUUAGGGAUUGUAAUAGGGGGUUUAGGGAUUAAUAAUCAAUAAUUUCAGAAUUUAAGGUUUCGUUGAUUGGGUCUUGGGAAAUAUUAUCCCUAGCCAGAUUAUGGAUAUAUUUUCUAUUAUUAACUACGAUUACUUGAGUAUUAAGUUUGUGUUGCUUGUCUUAAUCAGAUUUAGGGUCCUUUGAGUUUCCUAUAUAAGACAUAUUAUCUUAUGGAUGGUAGCUCAUCAUUGAUUAUUUAAUAUCAAAUAUGGAAUUUUAAGCGUUUUUAAGAUUAUUCCUUGAUUCGUUAUUCCCAAUCUGCAUCAUAACCUAAAUAUAUUUCCAAUGGAUGUACACAACCCAAUAUUUGAUAUCUUUUAAACUGUACUCUUUUUCUUUUCUUUUUUCCUAAAACAAAAAAAAGGUGUAAAUUAUCUCAAACGGGUAUUGCAUAUUUUUCUUGGUUUUUCUAAUUUGAUUUUUCUAUUAUCUCUCAUUAUGCCUCUUGCUAUACCAAUUCAACUGUGUUUGCAGAUUUGUACUCAUAAUGAUGACCCAUAGUAAGUUAUUGCAUAUUCCCAAUUCAACUCUGUUUGCAGAUUUGUACUCUUUUUCUUUUCUUUUUUCCUAAAACAAAAAAAGGUGUAAAUUAUCUCAAACUGUAAAUUAAUACCAAUUUUUCUAAUUUGAUUUUUCUAUUAUCUCUCCGGGUGCCAAGCAAGGAUUAAUCCCUCUUUGCUAUACCACUGUCAAAAAAUAGCUCAGGUACUGUAACUGCACUGUUAAGGUGGCUCACGGCUCCACCUGAGAUGGAAAUGCCUGUGGUGGAAGUCAGAGAACAUGGAGUGUGGCUUCUAGCUAAGAGUGUAUCUUUGAGCGGUUUCGUGAAAUUCUUAAUAAAGGAGAAAUUGACAAACGAGUUCAGUUUCUGAUUGAAGGCUUAUUUGCAAUUGGAAAAGCGAAGUUUCAAGGCUGGCUGUUCGUCCUGAGCUGGACCUUGUGGAGCAGGAAGAUCAGUUAACUCAUGAAUUUGGUCAUCAGUUAUAUUCUCUUUGGCGGAAACAUAAUGUGUCAAUCACUACUUUACUGUAAUGUUGUCACUAAGUACCUUUUCAUGUCAGCAGCUAAAGAAAACUCAUCAAAGCCCCAGAUCUUUUUUGCAUCAUUACAGUAAAAAGAUAUGUACAAAGCUAGAUUGUCCCUAUAUGGACGUCUUAAACUGCCUAUUUAUCAAGUUUUUUUUCUUUUUGAAUGACUUAGUAAUGUUGUAUUCUUGUAGUGUACAGAUUCUUU